UUCCCUGCUAUGUUUUGUCACACAUCAUUGCUGGGAGAGUUCAGUGCUAUCCAAGUGACUCCCCCGGGAGAGGACAACUGGAAAUUUAUGCCUGGUGUCUUCCUGGACUCCGACCUAUGCACCUUUUUCCUUGGAUGAUUUUAACCUGUCUCCUUUUGCUGCAAUGAACCAUAACCAUGAGUAUAUCAGCUUUUCUAAUUUUUGUGAGUCCCUCAAGUGAAUUAUCAAACCUAAGGUAGUUUUGGGACCCCCAUCACAGAGAGUCAAACAGGGGCAGGGCAAGAAGAGCUGCUUUUCCUGGAAGGCUAAUGAGUCUGAACUUCGCCCUGGAGGUAAUCGUUAUAGUAACUCCAGGCUCUAACCUGGAGCUGACAUGAUAAGGUCAAAUGUACACCUCUAGAAGACUUCCGACUGCAGAGGGGAAUGGAUGGGGGAGCUGAGGGAGGAGAGCUGAAGCAGGAAGACCAUGGCCUGGAAAGAGAUGGCUGAACCAGUCCAGCCAUCCCCUUAGCCCUCUGCCCACAGUGAUCACUAACUGAUUGCUCCUCCUUAAAAGCCACCGAAAAGUGUGCUUGGCUGAUCUCCCUGACCUCAAUUUCUCUGCUGGCAGAAUCACAAGAAAGGCAUCAGCACCUUCUGUGAAAUGGGGAGCCAUGCAGAGGAGGUGCCCAGGUGGCGAGGAGUCCAUGUCAGCUGCCGUCAUCCACACCACAGAUCAGACAUGGCAAAGAGUGGCCAGGCCUUCUGAGUGAAGGUGAUCCAACCUGUCACCAAGCCUAAGGGCAAAUCCUGGCUGUGCUGUGAUGGCUCCAACAACCCCAAACAGCAGCGCAGAGGCUGCAGCCGCCCUCGGAGGCAACACUGGGAAACGCUCAUUAGCAGCCUUCCAUUGCUCACCCGCCCCAUCCCACCUCUGUGCAUCCCAGAUCAUCAGCGAAGUGCACAGCUGGCUUCCAUCCUCGGAGCCUUCCUCCUUCAUUUGCCUAUUCAACAGUUACAAAGGCCUGAGUUGCAAAGGGGCUUACAACCCAUUCCACCCAGAAGAAAGAGAACUGAGACUGAGCAAGACAGAGAAUAGGUGGAAGGGGAGAUGAAACCAAGCAAUCUCUAGAUCCCAAAUGGGGACCCUGAUGUAGCAAGAGCCUCUUUUAAAUCCUUUUCCAAUAGGGUAAUAUGGAAAAUAGUUGAAAGCACAAGCCAAGUGGGGCUGGAAUCCCAAAUGGGCCAUUUACUAGCUGUGUGACUGGACAAGUAAUUUCAUAUUUCUGGGCCUCGAUUUUUCUCAUCUGUAAAA
Molecule: long non-coding RNA, 1294 nt
Filed under: Homo sapiens (human)
Lineage: Eukaryota; Metazoa; Chordata; Mammalia; Primates; Hominidae
Description: non-protein coding SRGAP3-AS2:6
Source: RNAcentral